GGGGUGACAAUGAACUCGCACGGGAAAUGAAACUGCUCCAGCGCCGGGGCUGCCCCGGCGAGGGCUCCGCUGGCCCUGGCGGACGGGUUUGCUGCUCUUCCUGUCCUCUCGAGUUCCUUCCACCAUAUUUAUUAUUUUUAAUGACAUUCUACUUCCCAUUUGGAUUCAAGCUCCUCUGCCGGGUUGUGUGGAAGAGGGAGGGAAGGGGAGGAAUACUGAACCUCCUCUGGUGACUCGCAGUUUGUGCAUCUCUUAAUAACGCGAGCUCCUGAGCUCGGAUUUCACGGCUGAGAGGACGAGUCGGUGCUGCGUGUCGGGCCGGCUUGAGAUGCGCGAAUUCCCUGCUCUCCUGCCAAGGCUGGAACCUGCGGCUCUCCCGGGCCCACCCCCCGGCGCGCUCCCCGGGGAGGCGCUUCACGCUCGGCACGGCGCGGCCCGGCCCGACACCGCCCCGGAGCGCCGCGGGCCCGGCUCCCACUGCAACAAACUCUCCCUCCAGGUCAUGCCGCAGGCGUGCACUCUGCACUGCUGUUCAUUACAGUACACUCUGUGCUCGACAGCCCCUCACAAACAUGACAUCUUUAAAAUAGAGAAAAUAUUUGCAGAAAAUUCCAUUUCUAAAAAUUACGCAGGCGUUAAUUCUUCCAGAAAUUUGUCACCUGCAAACAAAUCUUUAAAAAGAAAAAGUGUUGUGCUUUGCUGCUAUGAAAAUAUUAAUGCUAAUUAUCCAUAUCAGGGCUAAACUCUAUAUUCAGUUGAAGUGCAAAAAGCAAGCACCCUUUGUCAUUAAUUUAAAAUACUUGGCAACACCCCUAUUUUUAAAUUUGAUAUCAGUAAAUCCAGAAAAUGUGCAAACUUUAUCAGACUUCAAUGUUUCAAAUAAACACAAAUUUUAAUUGCAUUGAGAAAGCCACUAAGCAUAUUCAGGUUAAAAAUAAAGUCACUGAGAUUUGGGUGAUUAGGUUUUCCCCUUUCCUUUCUAGUCUAGACUUGGGUAAUCCAUCAUAGCAGACCUUAAGGGAUGGCAAAUAAUCUUUGGUAUUGUUAGUUUUGGGGAAAGUUUAAUCUUUUAUAUCCUUCAUAUUAAUAUAACCUGUUCACUGAAAGCAUUUUUAGUAAUUAUUAAUGCUACAAAGGUACACGAACAAGAUAAUUAUUUUUAGAUAAUAUGUAACAGAUAUUAAUAAAAUCAUUACUGUUCCAUUUUGGCAAAAAGGUAAUUUAUGUGUUACUUUUGAUUACUUGCUUUAGUAAAAAAUUCAUCUGGGAAAGUCAACCAUUCAUUGAUGUUACUAGUGAACAAGCCUAUCCUAAUUCUGGCACACCUGGAUUCAGCAAUUAUAAUUUUACAAGAAUCUGAAUUAAGAUGUUCACUAUUGUAAGUUAUAUUUGGAAAUUAUAUAAU
Catharus ustulatus (Swainson's thrush) is the source of this 1405-nucleotide long non-coding RNA. RefSeq lists it as uncharacterized. The transcript has 2 exons. The record is from RefSeq and is a predicted model, not a curated record. NCBI's taxonomy places the organism in Eukaryota, Metazoa, Chordata, Aves, Passeriformes, Turdidae.